AUUGAACGCUGGCGGCAUGCCUUACACAUGCAAGUCGAACGGUAACAGGUCUUCGGAUGCUGACGAGUGGCGAACGGGUGAGUAAUACAUCGGAACGUGCCUAGUAGUGGGGGAUAACUACUCAAAAGGGUGGCUAAUACCGCAUGAGAUCUACGGAUGAAGGCAGGGGAUCGCAAGACCUUGUGCUACUAGAGCGGCCGAUGGCAGAUUAGGUAGUUGGUGGGAUAAAAGCUUACCAAGCCGACGAUCUGGAGCUGGUCUGAGAGGCCGAUCAGCCACACUGGGACUGAGACACGGCCCAGACUCCUACGGGAGGCAGCAGUGGGGAAUUGUGGACAAUGGGCGCAAGACUGAUCCAGAAAUGCCGCGUGCAGGAUGAAGGCCUUCGGGUUGUAAACUGCUUUUGUACGGAACGAAAAGCCCCGGGUUAAUACCCUGGGGUCAUGACGGUACCGUAAGAAUAAGCACCGGCUAACUACGUGCCAGCAGCCGCCGUAA
RNAcentral lists this ribosomal RNA (498 nucleotides) under uncultured bacterium. RNAcentral's name for it is "partial 16S ribosomal RNA". It matches the Rfam family "Bacterial small subunit ribosomal RNA", at positions 30 to 523 of the family's 1533-position model. The record is from RNAcentral.